GUACUGCUGAUGAGUCCCAAACAGGGACGAAACAGCUGUCCAGCAC
This 46-nucleotide non-coding RNA is filed under the name Trichobilharzia regenti. The record is from RNAcentral. Lineage: Eukaryota; Metazoa; Platyhelminthes; Trematoda; Strigeidida; Schistosomatidae.